RNAcentral lists this long non-coding RNA (728 nucleotides) under Mustela putorius furo (domestic ferret). RNAcentral's name for it is "lncRNA (ENSMPUG00000031808.1)". The record is from RNAcentral. Lineage: Eukaryota; Metazoa; Chordata; Mammalia; Carnivora; Mustelidae.
GGAAAAGUAAUUAAAAGUAGAGAAUCACUAAUAUGAUGCAACCCCUUCGUUUCUCAGGUGUGAAAACUGAGGCCCAGAGAGGUGAUGUGAUUUGCCUAAAGUCAUGCAACUAGUGGCAGAGCCAGGCCUAGAAGCCAAGUGUCCUGGCUCUCAAGACAUUCCGCUGCCCGAGGAAUGGAACAGUGGAAAGACCCUCAUGGAAAGGAACUGAGGAAGACCUUCCAGCCAACAGCCAGCAAGGAGACCUGCCAACGACUGUGUGAGUGAGCUGGGAACUGGAUUCUUCCUCACUUGAGCCAUCAGAUGAAACUGUAGUCCCAACCAACACCUUGCCUGCCACCUUGCGGGAGACCCUGAUCCACAGAAACUGUAAGAUAAUAAAUACUGAUUGUCUUAAGCUGCUAAAUUCCACAGUAAUUUGUUCUGUAAAUAUAGAUAACUAUUACUUGACCUAAGGCUCAAUUUCAAAUUGCAAGCUCUAAACCCUCUAAUAGAUUAUGUUAACUGUGGUAUUUUCAUACUAUGAAUACUCUGGAGUAGUUAAGAGAAGCUAAGUCCAUCUAUGCUAUCGUGGAAAGGCUUUCAAGACACUGGAUUUUAAAAAAGCAAAGUGUGGAGCAAUACUUAUUGUAGGGUAUCAUUCAUGUAAAAGAAAAAAAAGUCCAACAGAACACACAAUAUAUGGUCUAUAGUUACAUGUAAGUUUAUGUAAAUGCAUGUAAAAUGCA